RNAcentral lists this ribosomal RNA (428 nucleotides) under uncultured archaeon. RNAcentral's name for it is "bacterial SSU rRNA". It matches the Rfam family "Archaeal small subunit ribosomal RNA", at positions 474 to 903 of the family's 1478-position model. The record is from RNAcentral.
UACCAGCUCUCCGAGUGGUAGGGAUGAUUAUUGGGCUUAAAGCGUCCGUAGCCGGCUUAGCAAGUCUCCUGUUAAAUUCAGCGACCUAAUCGUUGAGCCGCGGGAGAUACUACUAGGCUAGGAGGCGGGAGAGGUCAACGGUACUUCCGGGGUAGGGGUGAAAUCCUAUAAUCCCGGGAGGACCACCAGUGGCGAAGGCUGUUGACUAGAACGCGCUCGACGGUGAGGGACGAAAGCGUGGGGGAGCGAACCGGAUUAGAUACCCGGGUAGUCCCAGCUGUAAACGAUGCGAGCUAGGUGUUGGGGUGGCUACGUGCCACUUCAGUGCCGCAGGGAAGCCAUUAAGCUCGCCGCCUGGGGAGUACGGCCGCAAGGCUGAAACUUAAGGAAUUGGCGGGGAGCACCACAAGGCGUGAAGCUUGCGGUUC